CUAUGCGCCUUGCCAGCCCCGCUCAGAAACUCAAAUGAAUUGACGGGGCCCGCACAAGCGGUGGAGCAUGUGGUUCAAUUCGACGCAACGCGAAGAACCUUACCUGGGCUAGACAACAGUGGACCGUCCUAGAGAUAGGAUUUUCCCUUCGGGGACCGCUGGUUCAGGUGCUGCAUGGCUGUCGUCAGCUCGUGCCGUGAGGUGUUGGGUUAAGUCCCGCAACGAGCGCAACCCUCGUACUUAGUUGCCACCAUUCAGUUGGGCACUCUAGGUAGACUGCCGGCGUUAAGCCGGAGGAAGGUGGGGACGACGUCAAGUCAUCAUGGCCCUUAUGCCCAGGGCCACACACGUGCUACAAUGGGCGGCACAAAGGGUCGCGAACCCGCGAGGGGGAGCCAAUCCCAAAAAGCCGUUCUCAGUUCGGAUUGGAGUCUGCAACUCGACUCCAUGAAGUUGGAAUCGCUAGUAAUCGCGGAUCAGCACGCCGCGGUGAAUACGUUCCCGGGCCUU
This 510-nucleotide ribosomal RNA is filed under the name uncultured delta proteobacterium. RNAcentral describes it as "bacterial SSU rRNA". It matches the Rfam family "Bacterial small subunit ribosomal RNA", at positions 903 to 1382 of the family's 1533-position model. Lineage: Bacteria; Deltaproteobacteria. The record is from RNAcentral.